Molecule: ribosomal RNA, 918 nt
Filed under: uncultured bacterium
Lineage: Bacteria
Description: bacterial SSU rRNA
Rfam family: Bacterial small subunit ribosomal RNA
Source: RNAcentral
AGAGUUUGAUCCUGGCUCAGAUUGAACGCUAGCGGGAUGCUUUACACAUGCAAGUCGAACGGCAGCACAAAGGAACUUGUUCCUUGGGUGGCGAGUGGCGGACGGGUGAGUAAUGUAUCGGAACGUGCCCAGUAGUGGGGGAUAACUACGCGAAAGCGUGGCUAAUACCGCAUAUUCUCUACGGAGGAAAGGGGGGGAUCAUUUGACCUCUCGCUAUUGGAGCGGCCGAUAUUAGAUUAGCUAGUUGGUGGGGUAACGGCCUACCAAGGCGAUGAUCUAUAGCUGGUUUGAGAGGACGACCAGCCACACUGGGACUGAGACACGGCCCAGACUCCUACGGGAGGCAGCAGUGGGGAAUUUUCGACAAUGGGGGGAACCCUGAUCGAGCCAUCCCGCGUGUGGGACGAGGGCCUUCGGGUUGUAAACCACUUUUCUCAACGAAGAAAAGCCUUAGACUAAUACUCUGAGGUGCUGACGGCAGUUGAGGAAUAAGCACCGGCUAACUAUGUGCCAGCAGCCGCGGUAAUACAUAGGGUGCAAGCGUUAAUCGGAAUUACUGGGCGUAAAGGGUGCGCAGGCGGCUUGGAAAGAACGGUGUGAAAUCCCGGGGCUCAACCCCGGAACUGCACUAUUAACUAUCAAGCUAGAGUAUGUCAGAGGGGGGUGGAAUUCCGCGUGUAGCAGUGAAAUGCGUAGAUAUGCGGAGGAACACCAAUGGCGAAGGCAGCCCCCCGGGAUAAUACUGACGCUCAGGCACGAAAGCGUGGGUAGCAAACAGGAUUAGAUACCCUGGUAGUCCACGCCCUAAACGAUGUCAACUAGCUGUUGGGCCGGUUACGGCUUAGUAGCGCAGCUAACGCGUGAAGUUGACCGCCUGGGGACUACGGUCGCAAGACUAAAACUUAAAGGAAUUGACGG